CAACACAUCACACACAAGAAACAGUUGUGCUCAUGUGAUGGGGGCCUCAGCACUAGGAAGGAGUGGACUGUUGGCGCACGCAGCAGCUUGAAUAAAUCUGAAAGUCACUACGCUGCGUAAGAGAAGCCAAAUAAAGCGCAUGCUGUGUACAGAGGGUGUCGAGAAUGCCUCCUACGUGACGGAAAGCAGAUCCGUGGUUCCCUGCAGACUGGCAGGAGCAGAUUCCAAAGGCACAGGAAGAAGCUUGCAGCUGACAGAAACUCAUGACAGCCUGCUUUAGAUGAAGGGGGAGAGAAGGACUGGAAGAAUCUUGGAGUUGGGAAUGUCACACGUAAUUGAAGGAAGAACAAGAAAACUAUAAUUCUUCCCCUGGAGGCUGGAGUUUCCAGGAUGUCAAAAUUACCUCUGCUUGGGUGAGCUAUUUCAAGCAGCUGGGAUACCUGUGUCACUCCUGCUGUCUGCCAGUGACUGCCCAGGUGUCUGCUGGUUCCUCCCCAGGAGUAGGGAGGAACCAGGUGGGCUGGCUGGGAUGGGUGGAUAUUUAAAGACCAGGCCUUGGACGCUGCAGCACUUCUAUCUCUGCUUGAUGCCUGCUGCCACGUGGCUGGUCCUCCUCCUCCUGCUGUGGCUGAGCCUUGGGGUGAAGACAGGCAGCUGCUCCCAACCCCAGAACCUUUGCUGUCUUGGGACGGAUCACCACUGCAAGAGGGGAAGUUGCUACUGUGAUGAAUUCUGCCAUGUGGCACCAGACUGCCACCCAGACCACAGUGUCCUCUGCAACCCUGCUUCUCAGAUGACCAAGAUGGUGCUGCAGAUGGUGCUGAGGAUGGAGAACCCACCAAGCCC
Molecule: unclassified non-coding RNA, 846 nt
Filed under: Homo sapiens (human)
Lineage: Eukaryota; Metazoa; Chordata; Mammalia; Primates; Hominidae
Description: MUC20 overlapping transcript (ENSG00000280993.2)
Source: RNAcentral